Molecule: small RNA, 30 nt
Filed under: Arabidopsis thaliana (thale cress)
Lineage: Eukaryota; Viridiplantae; Streptophyta; Magnoliopsida; Brassicales; Brassicaceae
Description: ATSL067540
Source: RNAcentral
UCUUCUGUACAGCCUCUGAAGAAAGGUGGC